RNAcentral lists this unclassified non-coding RNA (140 nucleotides) under soil metagenome. Its description in RNAcentral is "partial internal transcribed spacer 1". The record is from RNAcentral.
CCUAGAGUAUGCGGGCUUUGCCUGCCAUCUCUUACCCAUGUCUUUUGAGUACCUUCGUUUCCUCGGCGGGUCCGCCUGCCGACUGGACAAUUUAAACCAUUUGCAGUCUGCAAUCAGCGUCUGAAAAAACUUAAUAGUUA